GAAAGGCUGCGUUUCCGGCCCGUGGGGCUCCAAUCAAAAUGGGACGCCUGCCGGCGGUAACGACAGGCCGGGGCCGCCCCCCGAAGUAGGGCGUGUGGCGUCACUUCCGGCUUCCUUCAGUCCGCUGGUCCCGAGCACGAGCUGUGAGGGGAUUCACUUGUGUGCGGAACUCCUCGGAACCAUGGCGUCCCUUUCCCUUGCACCUGUUAACAUCUUUAAGGCAGGAGCUGAUGAAGAGAGAGCAGAGACAGCUCGUCUGACUUCUUUUAUUGGUGCCAUCGCCAUUGGAGACUUGGUAAAGAGCACCUUGGGACCCAAAGGCAUGGACAAAAUUCUUCUAAGCAGUGGACGAGAUGCCUCUCUUAUGGUAACUAAUGAUGGUGCCACUAUUCUAAAAAACAUUGGUGUUGACAAUCCAGCAGCUAAAGUUUUAGUUGAUAUGUCAAGGGUUCAAGAUGAUGAAGUUGGUGAUGGCACUACCUCUGUUACCGUUUUAGCAGCAGAAUUAUUAAGGGAAGCAGAAUCUUUAAUUGCAAAAAAGAUUCAUCCACAGACCAUCAUAGCGGGUUGGAGAGAAGCCACGAAGGCUGCAAGAGAGGCGCUGUUGAGUUCUGCAGUUGAUCAUGGUUCCGAUGAAGUUAAAUUCCGUCAAGAUUUAAUGAAUAUUGCGGGCACAACAUUAUCCUCAAAACUUCUUACUCAUCACAAAGACCACUUUACAAAGUUAGCUGUAGAAGCAGUUCUCAGACUGAAAGGCUCUGGCAACCUGGAGGCAAUUCAUAUUAUCAAGAAGCUAGGAGGAAGUUUGGCAGAUUCCUAUUUAGAUGAAGGCUUCCUGUUGGAUAAAAAAAUUGGAGUAAAUCAACCAAAACGAAUUGAAAAUGCUAAAAUUCUUAUUGCAAAUACUGGUAUGGAUACAGACAAAAUAAAGAUAUUUGGUUCCCGGGUAAGAGUUGACUCUACAGCAAAGGUUGCAGAAAUAGAACAUGCGGAAAAGGAAAAAAUGAAGGAGAAGGUUGAACGUAUUCUUAAGCAUGGAAUAAAUUGCUUUAUUAACAGGCAAUUAAUUUAUAAUUAUCCUGAACAGCUCUUUGGUGCUGCUGGUGUCAUGGCUAUUGAGCAUGCAGAUUUUGCAGGUGUGGAACGCCUAGCUCUUGUCACAGGUGGUGAAAUUGCCUCUACCUUUGAUCACCCAGAACUGGUGAAGCUUGGAAGUUGCAAACUUAUCGAGGAAGUCAUGAUUGGAGAAGACAAACUCAUUCACUUUUCUGGGGUUGCCCUUGGUGAGGCUUGUACCAUUGUUUUGCGUGGUGCCACUCAACAAAUUUUAGAUGAAGCAGAAAGAUCAUUGCAUGAUGCUCUUUGUGUUCUUGCGCAAACUGUAAAGGACUCUAGAACAGUUUAUGGAGGAGGCUGUUCUGAGAUGUUGAUGGCUCAUGCUGUGACACAGCUUGCCAAUAGAACACCAGGCAAAGAAGCUGUUGCAAUGGAGUCUUAUGCUAAAGCACUGAGAAUGAUAUGAGGGAAGGCACCAUUGGAGAUAUGGCUAUCCUGGGUAUAACAGAAAGUUUUCAAGUGAAGCGACAGGUUCUUCUGAGUGCAGCUGAAGCAGCAGAGGUGAUUCUGCGUGUGGACAACAUCAUCAAAGCGGCACCCAGGAAACGUGUCCCUGAUCACCACCCCUGUUAAGCAUUCCCACGUGCUGUCGAUCUUUGGACCAGUUUCUAGCAAAGUUGUGUUUGAAAGAUACUCUAUUAAAGAAGACUGUGGAAUCUGUUUAUCGGUGCCCAUUAUAUCCUUAAGUUUGGAUAUUUAGCUGACCUUCUCUUUAACAUAGGUCUAAUUUAUUUGCUGUGUCAUUUUCCAUACAAAUCAGUUGAUUUAAAAAAGUUCAUUUCUCAUACUGUGCAUUAAAAUAAAAAUUUGAACAAUUA
RNA transcript from Pan troglodytes (chimpanzee), 1934 nucleotides. It is a transcript of the gene named chaperonin containing TCP1 subunit 2, with no coding region annotated. NCBI's taxonomy places the organism in Eukaryota, Metazoa, Chordata, Mammalia, Primates, Hominidae. The record is from RefSeq and is marked provisional. The transcript is spliced from 15 exons.